AUGAUUUGGCAGCAUAAGAACUGCAAAAUAACGGGCUCCAUCUGCAGACCGCUUGCAACACACAUCUACGACAACCUCAACACAGAAACCAUGACAAUAACCUUCGGUGAUGCUACUGAAGACAAAAAAAUCAAGAUUACCAAGGAAGCUACCCACAAGGUGUUUGGAUACCCAAACGGCAUGCAAAGGUCAACACCAAGGCCAGAGACUAGCCCAGCUUCAAUGAAAGAACUGAUGUCAGAGCUUGGCUUCAAAGAUACAAAAUUUGCGCCAAAACAACUGUUCGAGAAGCUACAAAUAUUGGUGGAAAUAGAUGAUGAAGAAUCAAACAGGAAAUCAGUUAAAAUAUUUUUCCUUAUUUUUUUCCACAAUGUUGUCUGCGGGUCAAGCGCCGCUAUCUUCGCCCGGACAGCUAUAAUGGUCAAGGACAUGGACUAUCCAGAAAUGGCAAAGAUGCAUUUCUGCGAGGUAAUAGUCGAAUGUAUUAGGGAAGGAGCCAAGACAUGGUAG
This 510-nucleotide ribosomal RNA is filed under the name Triticum aestivum (bread wheat). RNAcentral's name for it is "partial small subunit ribosomal RNA". The record is from RNAcentral. Lineage: Eukaryota; Viridiplantae; Streptophyta; Magnoliopsida; Poales; Poaceae.